This 99-nucleotide transfer RNA is filed under the name Planctomycetota bacterium. RNAcentral's name for it is "Planctomycetes bacterium (bioreactor metagenome) tRNA-Sec". It matches the Rfam family "Selenocysteine transfer RNA". The record is from RNAcentral. Lineage: Bacteria; Pseudomonadati; Planctomycetota.
GGGAGUGCAUCCGAGCUGGUGUUCGGCCUGGUCUUCAAAACCUGUGGGGUCCCUCCUCGAGAGGGGCCCGGUGGGUCCGAUUCCCAUGCACUCCCGCCA